Peromyscus maniculatus bairdii (prairie deer mouse) is the source of this 2602-nucleotide non-coding RNA. The record is from RefSeq and is a predicted model, not a curated record. Lineage: Eukaryota; Metazoa; Chordata; Mammalia; Rodentia; Cricetidae.
CACAAGUCCAGUGAGGUAGGAAGGACCGGGCAGGAACGCAAGGACGACUCCAUCCCAGGCUGGAGAAGAGCAGGGGGUAAGAGGUCCCCGAGUCCCAAAGCUGACCGUCUGGGUAGAAACCUCUGUCUUGAAGUUAUUCUGGCCGCCAUCUACAGAACUCUGGACGUGGGCACGGAAGGAGCUUGUCCAAGGGGUGCCACUUACUGGCCCUGUCCAGUCCUCACGCAAGAGGAAGGAGACACCCUCGGGGCUGUGGACUUGGGGCCCUGACCCGAAGAAGCUGGGCAUGGCACUGGGGACCGGAGGACGCCCCACAUUGAGCAGGACAGGCUGCCCCACAGUGGGCUCUCUGAUCUCUCUCUGGAGCACAGAGACUUCACAGGGAGGUUCAUCAGGGGGGCUGGGGGUGGGGUCCCCGCAGCCAAAGGUCUCUCCUUCCUGGGGUACGUAGUCUUCCAGGUCAGCCAAUGUUAGCACUCUGCCAUUGUGCGUAAGGAUUUUAGGGUCACGGCCCUGAAGGUUGCCCACGUCCUGGGGUUCUUCUAUUAGGGAGAUAUCCUCUUCUCUGUCGCUGCCUCCUUCUUCCCUCGCAAAGUUCUGUUCCUCCUGGGAGGCUCCAACCUCCUUUGGCUCAGGGCUAGCAGUUGCCCAGUCCACAUUGCCCAUUGAGUCCACACGGAAGACGAGGGGUUCACCAACGUGGACUACAGCGGGGCCGCGGGACACACUCUUGUUGUUGGAGUUGUUGGCAUUUGGGUCCUUGCCAGCGAUCCCACUAGGCAGUGUGAAGACGAUGCCCUCUCCACUGCUGGGCAUCUCUCGGACAGGAGAUGCGCCCCGUGACCCUGUCUUCUUCACCCGGACUUCAAUGGUUUCCUCCACCUCUAACCACUUGGGCUUGGGCUGCGAGGCUGGAGCGAGGGCUUCAGCCUCUGUCACAAAUAGUGCAGGCACCGGGGCCUUCCUGCUCCCUUCUGCCUCGAGCCUCCGGGAUGGACUGGCUCCUGGUGGAUACAGCAUCUCGGGGGUCAACAGCCCUGGCCUCCGUGGACUGGCAGAGCGGCGGGAGGGUGAACGGGAGGGAGACUUGCUGGGGGACUGGCGUCGGCCACGGGGACUCUUCACCACGGUGGUGAUGGUCUCUUCUCUGGUAGAGGGAGAGGGCCCAAGAAGAGAUGGGCACAGAGACCCACGGCUUCCCCCAGCACAAUGCCAUCAGCAUAUGCCAGAGCCCACGUUAGUGCACGUGUGAGUGAGGGAGCAGGGGAUAAGACAGCACCAACUCCUACACAUGCACUUGAGCCCAACCUGUACAAUCCUAGCUAAGAAAGCCAAAGAAACAAAGCACAAAGUCCCAGUGGUCAGCCUCAGACUUUGGUAUGGGAUCUCCAACAAGAGUCCCAGGGACCUCCUACCACCAAGUGAGGUGUGCUUUGCAAAUGUCCCCUGUGCUGGUCACCCCGCUUUUCCAUCCCCUGAGCAGGCUUUGUGCUUUGUCCCCUUGGGAUAGUCCCUGGCCAGCUCUCAGUGCCGGAAGCGCCUCAGUUAACAGGAUGGAUGGCUAGCCGAUGCAGCAGCCACAUGCACAAUACCAAGCUCAGGGUACAGCUGCCUCUGACCUGCAGCCCGUCUUCCUGCUUUCUGGGGUUGAAGGGGGUGAGAACAGGGAGGACUCAUCAGACCCAGGAGGACACCUGAAUUGGCUACUUAGCUCUGGACUGCUCUGGGCUGCCACAGGCCUUGUGACUUCUCACCUGCCCCGGUCCCUGUCUGCAUUCCACCUUCCAAAAUGGGAACGAGGGUGACAGGAGAGGGAGGCAGAACUUGGGCCCCAGGGUGAGUGGCAGACCUUGGCUAGGACUUUCCAAGCUUCUGGGUAUGGGCUCCAUUGCUUCUUGCUCCCAGCAGAGGUAUGGAUAGAGAAAUAGAAGGGCGGGGAACUUGCCCAGGGCUAUGUCACAAAUACUGGUUAACUGGGUUUCCUCUGGCACCAGGGGCCAUGGUCUAGAUAUCUCAAUGUGUCUGAUAAUACUGCUCCUCACGUGGCAGAUAUGGACAACCAUUGGUUUUGCCAAGCUCCAGCAUGGGGCCUUUCCAAGGCCGGGGUCGGGUGCACAGGCUGGGUGGCAUCAUGGGAGCAGCCCACCUUAGAAGGAGAGACGUGGAUGAAGGGCAAUAAGGGACAAGCCAGAUUCCACCCAAGGUCUGCAGACAGAAUUCUCUAGCAACACGGCCGCCCCAUAAGAGAAUCCCCUUACUGGGCUUCCCUGUCUCUUGUACCCCCUCUCAUCUCCUGGUGGAAGGCUUCCCAGAUUCUCCAGGUCCCACACAAUCCCACAUCCUGUGGGGUCACCAUGCUCUGAGCUCCUGGAAUCCACACAUAGGAUUUUGUUUGCGCUUUGAAAGCACCAGAGGAUGAAGAAAGGACUAGCUGGUGGAGGUGGCUCUCAGAUGGCCUCCUUACUUUCCAGAGCCUCAGUUUCCCCAUCUUCCAAAUGUAAGGGCUGGCCUUGGAGACACAAAUGCUCCAGGGCUAUGACACCUACCUACCAUUGUAGCAUUAUUUAGGUUAGGUCCAAAGAAUAAAACCCGGGUCACAUUU